GACGAACGCUGGCGGCGUGCUUAACACAUGCAAGUCGAGCGGUAAGGCCCUUCGGGGUACACGAGCGGCGAACGGGUGAGUAACACGUGGGUGACCUGCCCUCCACUUCGGGAUAAGCCUGGGAAACUGGGUCUAAUACCGGAUAGGACCAUUGGAUGCAUGUCUGGUGGUGGAAAGUUUUGUCGGUGGGGGAUGGGCCCGCGGUCUAUCAGCUUGUUGGUGGGGUGAUGGCCUACCAAGGCGACGACGGAUAGCCGGCCUGAGAGGGUGAUCGGCCACACUGGGACUGAGACACGGCCCAGACUCCUACGGGAGGCAGCAGUGGGGAAUCUUGCGCAAUGGGCGGAAGCCUGACGCAGCAACGCCGCGUGAGGGAUGACGGCCUC
This 386-nucleotide ribosomal RNA is filed under the name uncultured bacterium. RNAcentral describes it as "bacterial SSU rRNA". It matches the Rfam family "Bacterial small subunit ribosomal RNA", at positions 28 to 418 of the family's 1533-position model. The record is from RNAcentral.